GUACUCCCCAGGCGGGGCGCUUAAUGCGUUAGCUGCGGCACAGACCCCGUGGAAGGGACCCACACCUAGCGCCCAACGUUUACGGCGUGGACUACCAGGGUAUCUAAUCCUGUUCGCUCCCCACGCUUUCGCUCCUCAGCGUCAGUACAGGCCCAGAGAACCGCCUUCGCCACCGGUGUUCCUCCCGAUAUCUGCGCAUUUCACCGCUACACCGGGAAUUCCGUUCUCCCCUGCCUGCCUCUAGCCAGCCCGUAUCCACUGCACGCCCGGGGUUGAGCCCCGGGAUUUCACAGCAGACGUGACAAGCCGCCUACGAGCUCUUUACGCCCAAUAAUUCCGGACAACGCUUGCGCCCUACGUAUUACCGCGGCUGCUGGCACGUAGUUAGCCGGCGCUUCUUCCCCAGGUACCGUCACUCUCGCUUCGUCCCUGGUGAAAGCGGUUUACAACCCGAAGGCCUUCAUCCCGCACGUGGCGUCGCUGCGUCAGGGUUUCCCCCA
RNAcentral lists this ribosomal RNA (500 nucleotides) under uncultured bacterium. RNAcentral's name for it is "partial 16S rRNA". The record is from RNAcentral.